RNAcentral lists this ribosomal RNA (313 nucleotides) under uncultured bacterium. RNAcentral's name for it is "bacterial SSU rRNA". It matches the Rfam family "Bacterial small subunit ribosomal RNA", at positions 28 to 334 of the family's 1533-position model. The record is from RNAcentral.
GACGAACGCUGGCGGCGUGCCUAACACAUGCAAGCCGAGCGGAGACAUUAAGGAGCUUGCUCUGAGAUGUUUUAGCGGCGGACGGGUGAGUAACGCGUGAGCAACCUUUCUCUCAGUGGGGAAUAACACACCGAAAGGUGUACUAAUACCGCAUGAGACCACAGUGCCGCAUGGUACAGGGGUCAAAGAUUUAUUGCUGAGAGGUGGGCUCGCGUCCGAUUAGCUAGUUGGUAAGGUAACGGCUUACCAAGGCGACGAUACAUAGCCGACCUGAGAGGGUGAUCGGCCACACUGGGACUGAGACACGGCCCAG